AGCUCGUGUCGUGAGAUGUUGGGUUAAGUCCCGCAACGAGCGCAACCCUUGUCUUUAGUUGCCAUCAUUAAGUUGGGCACUCUAGAGAGACUGCCAGGGAUAACCUGGAGGAAGGUGGGGAUGACGUAAAAUCAUCAUGCCCCUUAUGCUUAGGGCUACACACGUGCUACAAUGGGUAGUACAGAGGGUUGCCAAGCCGUAAGGUGGAGCUAAUCCCUUAAAGCUACUCUCAGUUCGGAUUGUAGGCUGAAACUCGCCUACAUGAAGC
RNAcentral lists this ribosomal RNA (268 nucleotides) under Clostridioides difficile. Its description in RNAcentral is "partial 16S ribosomal RNA". It matches the Rfam family "Bacterial small subunit ribosomal RNA", at positions 1057 to 1326 of the family's 1533-position model. Lineage: Bacteria; Bacillati; Bacillota; Clostridia; Peptostreptococcales; Peptostreptococcaceae. The record is from RNAcentral.